Molecule: long non-coding RNA, 325 nt
Filed under: Androctonus crassicauda
Lineage: Eukaryota; Metazoa; Arthropoda; Arachnida; Scorpiones; Buthidae
Source: RNAcentral
AUUUUGUUGCAGGAAUAUACAGUAUUAACCAGUAACUAUAUUCUAUUAUUUGCUAUGAAAUUAAAUGUCUACAUUUAAUAUCAGCUAUCAUUAGAUACCAGGGAUGAUUUGUUAUAAAAGGCAGGGUCAUCUCAACAUACAAUCAAGUGGAGUACCCACUCAGAGUGUGGUAUAUUUUGUGUUUUAUUAUUAUUGUUGUAAGUCACAAUUAUUUUUUAUACAUAAUUUAGAUGGUGAAUCCAUCACCAUCAAAACUGACAACUUGAAGAGGGUGCAACAAAAAUUUUUGCUCAGGGCAUUAAAAGCUCUAGAGGCAAUAUUGAUA